UACGGAGGAUGCAAGCGUUAUCCGGAUUUAUUGGGUUUAAAGGGUGCGCAGGUUGUUUGAUACGUCAGUGGUGAAAGUCUGUCGCUUAACGGUAGGAUUGCCAUUGAUACUGUUGGACUUGAAUAUGGAUGAGGUAGGCGGAAUGUGUAGUGUAGCGGUGAAAUGCAUAGAUAUUACACAGAACACCGAUUGCGAAGGCAGCUUACUAAUCCAUCAUUGACGCUGAGGCACAAAAGCGUGGGGACCUAAACA
RNAcentral lists this ribosomal RNA (252 nucleotides) under uncultured prokaryote. RNAcentral describes it as "partial 16S ribosomal RNA". It matches the Rfam family "Bacterial small subunit ribosomal RNA", at positions 524 to 775 of the family's 1533-position model. The record is from RNAcentral.